GGACGAACGCUGGCGGCGUGCUUAACACAUGCAAGUCGAACGGAAAGGCCCUGCUUUUGUGGGGUGCUCGAGUGGCGAACGGGUGAGUAACACGUGAGUAACCUGCCCUUGACUUUGGGAUAACUUCAGGAAACUGGGGCUAAUACCGGAAAGGAGCUCCUGCUGCAUGGUGGGGGUUGGAAAGUUUCGGCGGUUGGGGAUGGACUCGCGGCUUAUCAGCUUGUUGGUGGGGUAGUGGCUUACCAAGGCUUUGACGGGUAGCCGGCCUGAGAGGGUGACCGGCCACAUUGGGACUGAGAUACGGCCCAGACUCCUACGGGAGGCAGCAGUGGGGAAUAUUGCACAAUGGGCGGAAGCCUGAUGCAGCAACGCCGCGUGCGGGAUGACGGCCUUCGGGUUGUAAACCGCUUUCGCCUGUGACGAAGCGUGAGUGACGGUAAUGGGUAAAGAAGCACCGGCUAACUACGUG
This 469-nucleotide ribosomal RNA is filed under the name uncultured bacterium. RNAcentral's name for it is "partial 16S ribosomal RNA". It matches the Rfam family "Bacterial small subunit ribosomal RNA", at positions 27 to 507 of the family's 1533-position model. The record is from RNAcentral.